Molecule: ribosomal RNA, 468 nt
Filed under: uncultured bacterium
Lineage: Bacteria
Description: partial 16S ribosomal RNA
Rfam family: Bacterial small subunit ribosomal RNA
Source: RNAcentral
GACGAACGCUGGCGGCGUGCUUAACACAUGCAAGUCGAACGGAAAGGCCCUGCUUUUGUGGGGUGCUCGAGUGGCGAACGGGUGAGUAACACGUGAGUAACCUGCCCUUGACUUUGGGAUAACUUCAGGAAACUGGGGCUAAUACCGGAUAGGAGCUCCUGCUGCAUGGUGGGGGUUGGAAAGUUUCGGCGGUUGGGGAUGGACUCGCGGCUUAUCAGCUUGUUGGUGGGGUAGUGGCUUACCAAGGCUUUGACGGGUAGCCGGCCUGAGAGGGUGACCGGGCACAUGGGGACUAAGGGACGGAGCAGACUCCUACGGGAGGCAGCAGUGGGGAAUAUUGCACAAUGGGCGGGAGCCUGAGGCAGCAGCGCCGCGUGCGGGAUAACGGCCUUCGGGUUGUGAACCGCUGUCGCCUGUGACGAAGCGGGAGUGACGGUAAUGGGUAAGGAAGCACCGGCUAACUACGUG